GUGCCAGCAGCCGCGGUAAUACGGGGGGGGCGAGCGUUGUUCGGAAUUACUGGGCGUAAAGGGUGCGUAGGCGGCUUUCUAAGUCGGAUGUGAAAACUCUGGGCUCAACCCAGAGCCUGCAUCCGAAACUGGAGAGCUAGGGUUCUGGAGGGGAAAGCGGAAUUCCUGGUGUAGCGGUGAAAUGCGUAGAUAUCAGGAGGAACACCGGUGGCGAAGGCGGCUUUCUGGACAGAUACCGACGCUGAGGCACGAAAGCUAGGGGAGCAAACAGGAUUAGAUACCCUGGUAGUCC
Molecule: ribosomal RNA, 292 nt
Filed under: uncultured bacterium
Lineage: Bacteria
Description: partial 16S ribosomal RNA
Rfam family: Bacterial small subunit ribosomal RNA
Source: RNAcentral